GAUGAACGCUGGCGGCGUGCCUAACACAUGCAAGUCGACCUUAGUGGGGACGGGUGAGUAACCCGUGGGUCACCUCCCAUCAGAGGGGGAUACCACUUGGAAACCGGUGCUAAACCGGAUACUUAUAGAUGGUUCCGUGUUGCAUUAGCUAGGGGGGACGGUAACGGCUUACCAAGGCAACGAUGCAUAGCAGACCUGAGAGGAUGAUCAGCCACACUGGAACGGAGACACGGUCCAGACUCCUACGGGAGGCAGCAGAAGGGAAUGGUCCGUAAGGGGCGAAAGCCUGACCGGACAAAGCCGCGUGAGGGAAGAAGGUCUGCGGAUAGGAAAAGUCUGUUAUUAUGGAAGCGGUACCAAAUCAAAAAGCAUCGGCUAACUCCGUGCCAGCAGCCGCGGUAAUUC
Molecule: ribosomal RNA, 405 nt
Filed under: uncultured bacterium
Lineage: Bacteria
Description: partial 16S ribosomal RNA
Rfam family: Bacterial small subunit ribosomal RNA
Source: RNAcentral